This 348-nucleotide unclassified non-coding RNA is filed under the name Hevea brasiliensis (rubber tree). Lineage: Eukaryota; Viridiplantae; Streptophyta; Magnoliopsida; Malpighiales; Euphorbiaceae. The record is from RNAcentral.
AGGAGGAGAAAGGAAUAAGAAGAUGCUCAAGCACACAAUUCGAAGCUUGAAAAAAAGAUUGAGCUCUAUUUCAACUACGAACACACCAAGAGAGGAGGUCGAUUGUGUGGUGAUAGGAGCAGGUGUGGUGGGCAUAGCAGUGGCAAGAGAGCUUGCUCUCAAGGGCAGAGAGGUAUUAGUGGUGGAUUCCGCCUCGAAUUUUGGCACUGGUACCAGCUCUCGCAAUAGCCAAGUCAUUCACGCCGGCAUCUAUUACCUGCCCAAUUCCCUCAAGGCAUUGUUCUGUGUGAGGGGAAGAAAAUUGCUCUAUUCUUAUUGCUCUGAACAUGGGAUUCCGCACAAACAGAC